This 232-nucleotide ribosomal RNA is filed under the name uncultured bacterium. Its description in RNAcentral is "partial 16S ribosomal RNA". It matches the Rfam family "Bacterial small subunit ribosomal RNA", at positions 100 to 334 of the family's 1533-position model. The record is from RNAcentral.
CGGGACGGGUGAGUAAUGUCUGGGAAACUGCCUGAUGGAGGGGGAUAACUACUGGAAACGGUAGCUAAUACCGCAUAACGUCGCAAGACCAAAGAGGGGACCUUAGGGCCUCUUGCCAUCGGAUGUGCCCAGAUGGGAUUAGCUAGUAGGUGGGGUAAAGGCUCACCUAGGCGACGAUCCCUAGCUGGUCUGAGAGGAUGACCAGCCACACUGGAACUGAGACACGGUCCAG